UGACCGGUAGUUCAGUGGUUAGAACAUCUGCCUGCAUACCAGAGGGUCACAGGUUUGAUUCCUGGUCAA
This 69-nucleotide transfer RNA is filed under the name Myotis davidii. It matches the Rfam family "tRNA". From Rfam's summary of the family: Transfer RNA (tRNA) molecules are approximately 80 nucleotides in length. Their secondary structure includes four short double-helical elements and three loops (D, anti-codon, and T loops). Further hydrogen bonds mediate the characteristic L-shaped molecular structure. tRNAs have two regions of fundamental functional importance: the anti-codon, which is responsible for specific mRNA codon recognition, and the 3' end, to which the tRNAs corresponding amino acid is attached (by aminoacyl-tRNA synthetases). tRNAs cope with the degeneracy of the genetic code in two manners: having more than one tRNA (with a specific anti-codon) for a particular amino acid; and 'wobble' base-pairing, i.e. permitting non-standard base-pairing at the 3rd anti-codon position. The record is from Rfam by way of RNAcentral. Lineage: Eukaryota; Metazoa; Chordata; Mammalia; Chiroptera; Vespertilionidae.